This 495-nucleotide ribosomal RNA is filed under the name uncultured bacterium. RNAcentral describes it as "partial 16S ribosomal RNA". It matches the Rfam family "Bacterial small subunit ribosomal RNA", at positions 28 to 507 of the family's 1533-position model. The record is from RNAcentral.
GACGAACGCUGGCGGCGUGCCUAAUACAUGCAAGUAGAACGCUGAAGGAGGAGCUUGCUUCUCUGGAUGAGUUGCGAACGGGUGAGUAACGCGUAGGUAACCUGCCUGGUAGCGGGGGAUAACUAUUGGAAACGAUAGCUAAUACCGCAUAAGAGUAGAUGUUGCAUGACAUUUGCUUAAAAGGUGCAAUUGCAUCACUACCAGAUGGACCUGCGUUGUAUUAGCUAGUUGGUGAGGUAACGGCUCACCAAGGCGACGAUACAUAGCCGACCUGAGAGGGUGAUCGGCCACACUGGGACUGAGACACGGCCCAGACUCCUACGGGAGGCAGCAGUAGGGAAUCUUCAGCAAUGGACGGAAGUCUGACCGAGCAACGCCGCGUGAGUGAAGAAGGUUUUCGGAUCGUAAAGCUCUGUUGUAAGAGAAGAACGAGUGUGAGAGUGGAAAGUUCACACUGUGACGGUAUCUUACCAGAAAGGGACGGCUAACUACGUG